CGUAUUACAGCGGAGUACGCAAAAGGAUGCAAGCUAGGAAUCGACAAAGUAAACCACACGCAAGGUGCUUAGAUAGAAAACGUAAAAUGGUGUACAGAGGAAAAAAGGAGGUCGGGAGGUACCAACUCCCGAUGGAAAAACCUGGACGUAUGCUUUGAUUUGCCCGAGAUCAACUACCGCUAGCUCUUGCACACUUCGUCCGGUGUUGCUUUGCUCUAUGCGUCCAAAUGCC
Molecule: long non-coding RNA, 232 nt
Filed under: Nicotiana benthamiana
Lineage: Eukaryota; Viridiplantae; Streptophyta; Magnoliopsida; Solanales; Solanaceae
Description: long non-coding RNA (NBEN_LNC001895)
Source: RNAcentral